CGUUCUCAUAUCAUUGAUUUCUUGGCCUCUUAACUCCAUAACUCACUUUGAAGUGUGUGUGUGUAUAUAUAUAUAUGUAUAGCAGUGCCCUAUUUUCUUGUCCAAGUGCUUAUCUUAAAUUUGUAUAUAAAGUCGACUCAUAUAAGAGUCUCAACUUCUCAAUAGAUUAAAUGAUCUACCUUAUUAAUGAUGGACAUUAUGUAUUAACAUAGAUUCUUGCUGUCUGAAAUAAGCUUAAACCUUUUUAUUAUUGACUGCAUUUUGGCAAUGAAUAAUUAAUUUGAUGAGAUCCUUGAAUUUUUAGGAGAAUUGCUGAAGUGAGGGAGAA
RNAcentral lists this unclassified non-coding RNA (328 nucleotides) under Hevea brasiliensis (rubber tree). The record is from RNAcentral. Lineage: Eukaryota; Viridiplantae; Streptophyta; Magnoliopsida; Malpighiales; Euphorbiaceae.